CCUACGGGAGGCAGCAGUGGGGAAUAUUGGACAAUGGGCGAAAGCCUGAUCCAGCCAUGCCGCGUGUGUGAAGAAGGCCUUCGGGUUGUAAAGCACUUUCAGUGGGGAAGAAAGCCUUGGGGCUAAUACCCUCGAGGAAGGACAUCACCCACAGAAGAAGCACCGGCUAACUCCGUGCCAGCAGCCGCGGUAAUACGGAGGGUGCGAGCGUUAAUCGGAAUUACUGGGCGUAAAGCGCGCGUAGGCGGUCUGAUAAGCCGGUUGUGAAAGCCCCGGGCUCAACCUGGGAACGGCAUCCGGAACUGUCGGGCUAGAGUGCAGGAGAGGAAGGUAGAAUUCCCGGUGUAGCGGUGAAAUGCGUAGAGAUCGGGAGGAAUACCAGUGGCGAAGGCGGCCUUCUGGACUGACACUGACGCUGAGGUGCGAAAGCGUGGGUAGCAAACAGGAUUAGAUACCCGUGUAGC
Molecule: ribosomal RNA, 464 nt
Filed under: Vreelandella stevensii
Lineage: Bacteria; Pseudomonadati; Pseudomonadota; Gammaproteobacteria; Oceanospirillales; Halomonadaceae
Description: partial 16S ribosomal RNA
Rfam family: Bacterial small subunit ribosomal RNA
Source: RNAcentral